Non-coding RNA from Atopostipes suicloacalis DSM 15692, 74 nucleotides. The record is from Rfam. Lineage: Bacteria; Bacillati; Bacillota; Bacilli; Lactobacillales; Carnobacteriaceae.
GUACCUGUAGCUCAGCAGGAUAGAGCAUUCGCCUUCUAAGCGAACGGCCGGGGGUUCGAAUCCCUCCAGGUACG